This is a non-coding RNA of Podarcis lilfordi (Lilford's wall lizard), 185 nucleotides long. The record is from the annotation of a GenBank genome assembly. NCBI's taxonomy places the organism in Eukaryota, Metazoa, Chordata, Lepidosauria, Squamata, Lacertidae.
CUGUUUAGUCGGAAUCUCCUUUCUUGCAACUUGAAGCCCUUGGCUUGAGUCCUACCCUCCAGAGCAGGAGAAAACAAGCAUGCCCCCUCCUCCAUGUAACAGCCCUGAAGAUAUUUGAAGAUGGCUAUCAUAUCUCCUCCUCUCAGUCUCCUCUUCUCCAGACUAAACAUCCCCAGCUCCUUCAA